AUCCUCCUAGGAUGGAAAGUUGUUAGGUUUGAAAGCAGGUGCAGAAUUCGAGCUCUCGGGAUCAGAGGUCAACGUUGCUUGUCCCCCGGGACCGAAGAGGACCCCGCAGCUUCGGCGGGCAGCAAGGGAGGCGCGGGCAUCACGACCCGGGCACUGCCCCAGCUCCCAUCCGGAGAGGUCCCCAUCGAGAGGAACCCCCCAGCCUCCGAGCUCCGGUGCGAGCCGCCGAGGGGGUGACCCGCCUACCGCGCCGAGCCUCCCGCGCCCUUUAAACCUCCCAGGCCUGAGCUACUUGCAGCAUUGAUCAGAGGAGCAGCCUUUCGCAGUUGGCAGCAGUCAAUGCAGAGACCCAUAACUGGUCAAAGUGCUGAGGCUUCAGAGUCUAUGAGUGCUUAGCCGUAAGCAGGACAUCUUUAUCACAUGCCACCCCACCCUAAGUGUGGAGGAACCUCGCAAAAGAGCAACCAGAGGUCCCUGACCACAGCAAGACGGAAGUUACCUUACAUCGAGGAGAGCAAACCAGAUAGCACCUCUCUGAAGACAGAAACAGACACACCUGGUUGAGCCAAGUAUACACGACUCCUUCCAAACUCUCCAAAGGCUUUUCACGUGGGAGAAGAAAGGCAAAAGGUGAGCCUCUAGGUCACUCAAGUCAGCUUCUAGGAGGACAUCCUUCUAUGCCGAAACCAGAACUGGAUAGGAAUCAGUUGCUUCCUAAAGUCAGUCGAACUUCAUUCUUGGACCCUUCAGGUUUGUUUUUUCCACCACCUGUCUCAGACUCUGGCUUUCAGCAUCUGCCGUUCAACAGAGGGAUUGAUGAAAUCAGUCAAAGACAUCAGUAUCAGUGUGCUUCUGGCUCUCCAAGGGACAUCUGUGCAGCG
This is a long non-coding RNA of Apodemus sylvaticus (European woodmouse), 881 nucleotides long. RefSeq lists it as uncharacterized. The transcript is spliced from 3 exons. The record is from RefSeq and is a predicted model, not a curated record. Lineage: Eukaryota; Metazoa; Chordata; Mammalia; Rodentia; Muridae.